RNAcentral lists this ribosomal RNA (123 nucleotides) under Octodon degus (degu). Lineage: Eukaryota; Metazoa; Chordata; Mammalia; Rodentia; Octodontidae. The record is from RNAcentral.
GUCUACAGCCAUACCACCCUGAACACACCAGAUCUUGUUUGAUCUCAGAAGUUAAACAGGGUCAGGCCCGAUUAGUACUUGGAUGGGAGAAAGUUGAGCUUGCAAAACAUGGUAUUGUGGCCC